AUUAAAUUCGUGAUCAACUGUAAUCUGGAUGUAAUUUAGGUAUAAUAUCAGGUGUCGUAGUUAAUUCUCAGCACAUGGACAUAUUUGGUACAUGGGUUAAAAUUUGAUUAUGGGUCAACUAAAGCCUCAACUAUAAUGAAGUUUGGCUUGCAUACAACCUGUUGAUUAUUGAAGACUUGAAGGAAAAUUUGGGUUCAUUUCUUUGGGUGAUGAAUGUUGUCCCUGAAGAUGGAUCUAACACAUUGAAGCUUAUUUACGAUAGAGGCCAUCGAUUCAAUUCAUAACUGGUGUGAAGCAUACUCAACCUACCCGCGUACAUACGAUCUUCUCCAUGCUAGCAACGUGUUCUCAUACAUAAUUGAAAGGAAAGGUUGCAGUGGUGAAGAUUUGUUGAUCUAGAUUGAUUGUAUUCCUAAGCCCACGAGCUUCCUAGUUGUUCGGGACAACAAGCCUGUUAUAAACUUCGUGAAGAAAUACAUAGCUGUGAUACACU
This is a long non-coding RNA of Helianthus annuus (common sunflower), 493 nucleotides long. RefSeq lists it as uncharacterized. The record is from RefSeq and is a predicted model, not a curated record. The transcript has 3 exons. NCBI's taxonomy places the organism in Eukaryota, Viridiplantae, Streptophyta, Magnoliopsida, Asterales, Asteraceae.